AACGAACGCUGGCGGCAGGCCUAACACAUGCAAGUCGAACGUGAAGCCACCUUCGGGUGGUGGAAAGUGGCAGACGGGUGAGUAACGCGUGGGAACGUGCCCUUCGGUUCGGGAUAACCCAGGGAAACUUGGGCUAAUACCGUAUACGCCCUUUUGGGGAAAGAUUUAUCGCCAUAGGAUGGGCCCGCGUCGGAUUAGCUUGUUGGUAGGGUAAUGGCCUACCAAGGCAACGAUCCGUAGCUGGUCUUAGAGGAUGAUCAGCCACACUGGGACUGAGACACGGCCCAGACUCCUACGGGAGGCAGCAGUGGGGAAUAUUGGACAAUGGGCGAAAGCCUGAUCCAGCCAUGCCGCGUGAGUGACGAAGGCCUUAGGGUUGUAAAACUCUUUUGGCGGGGACGAUAAUGACGGUACCCGCAGAAUAAGCCCCGGCUAACUUCGUG
RNAcentral lists this ribosomal RNA (443 nucleotides) under uncultured bacterium. RNAcentral's name for it is "bacterial SSU rRNA". It matches the Rfam family "Bacterial small subunit ribosomal RNA", at positions 29 to 507 of the family's 1533-position model. The record is from RNAcentral.